GACGAACGCUGGCGGCGUGCUUAACACAUGCAAGUCGAACGGAAAGGCCCUGCUUUUGUUGGGUGCUCGAGUGGCGAACGGGUGAGUAACACGUGAGUAACCUGCCCUUGUCUUUGGGAUAACUUCAGGAAACUGGGGCUAAUACCGGAUAGGAGCUCCUGCUGCAUGGUGGGGGUUGGAAAGUUUCGGCGGUUGGGGAUGGACUCGCGGCUUAUCAGCUUGUUGGUGGGGUAGUGGCUUACCAAGGCUUUGACGGGUAGCCGGCCUGAGAGGGUGACCGGCCACAUGGGGACUGAGGUAGGGCCCAGACUCCUACGGGAGGCAGCAGUGGGGAAUAUUGCAGAAUGGGCGGAAGCCUGAUGCAGCAACGCCGCGUGCGGGAUGACGGCCUUCGGGUUGUAAACCGCUUUCGCCUGUGACGAAGCGUGAGUGACGGUAAUGGGUAAAGAAGCACCGGCUAACUACGUG
Molecule: ribosomal RNA, 468 nt
Filed under: uncultured bacterium
Lineage: Bacteria
Description: partial 16S ribosomal RNA
Rfam family: Bacterial small subunit ribosomal RNA
Source: RNAcentral